GCACUAAGCGUUGACUGAAGAAUAUGAAGAUGGAUACCCCUGGGUAAAUUUUUGUGACCAGUAUUCGUCGGGCAAGUGGGCCCAGGUGGGCCUGGGAGCGUAGGAGGGUUCUGCUCUAUCGACUCUACCUAACAGGCUCGCACCGACAUUCGUAGCAGCCAAAGUAGUGUCGGUAUGAAAGCUUAAGGUUGAGUCAGUACAAAGUAGAGAUAGAACGAAACUUCUCGAAAGUUCAAGUCUAUUUUGACACACAAUUGAAAGGUACGAGCAACAAUUUGUAUCAUCCAACUGUCGCAGAACGGCAGCGUUAUUAGCUGACCCGUUAACUGAAGAAUGCAUCUUUAAUCAACGGCUGCCCAUCGAAGGGCCCAGCCGCUUGAGUCUGGAAUCGGCAGGAAAGAUAAAGUAUAACCCGAGGUGGAUAGCGGUGGUCGUUUGAGGUGGUUGGCGG
Molecule: long non-coding RNA, 451 nt
Filed under: Neodiprion lecontei (redheaded pine sawfly)
Lineage: Eukaryota; Metazoa; Arthropoda; Insecta; Hymenoptera; Diprionidae
Description: uncharacterized LOC124292704
Source: RNAcentral